CCUACGGGAGGCAGCAGUGGGGAAUAUUGCGCAAUGGGCGAAAGCCUGACGCAGCGACGCCGCGUGAGGGAUGAAGGUCUUCGGAUCGUAAACCUCUGUCAGCAGGGAAGAACGGUCACUGUGCUAAUCAGCAGUGAAUUGACGGUACCUGUAAGGGAAGCACCGUCUAACUCCGUGCCAGCAGCCGCGGUAAUACGGAGGGUGCGAGCGUUAAUCGGAAUUACUGGGCGUAAAGCGCUCGUAGGAGGUAUGUCAAGUCAAGGGUGAAAUCCCCGCGCUCAACGUGGGAACUGCCUUGGAAACUGGCAAGCUGGAGUGUGUGAGAGGAUAGUGGAAUUCCAGGUGUAGGAGUGAAAUCCGUAGAUAUCUGGAGGAACAUCAGUGGCGAAGGCGACUAUCUGGCACAUAACUGACGCUGAGGAGCGAAAGCGUGGGUAGCAAACAGGAUUAGAUACCCCAGUAGUC
RNAcentral lists this ribosomal RNA (465 nucleotides) under uncultured bacterium. Its description in RNAcentral is "partial 16S ribosomal RNA". It matches the Rfam family "Bacterial small subunit ribosomal RNA", at positions 338 to 795 of the family's 1533-position model. The record is from RNAcentral.